UGCAGUAUAGAACAGAUCACUUAUGGAAAGUCACAGGAAAGAUUUCUUCAUUACUUCCAUGGGCCACAUCCGCACUCCUCUCCAGGUACGCUUCUCCUUGUCAACCCUUCUUCCCUCCCUUCUGUGUAUGGUUCCACUGCAGAGCUAUACAUCUUGUUCAGUCCUGUACAUGACUGCUGUAUCACUGCUCGUAAGGAAACCUCCCAGCUGUUCAAAAGAAGCCAUGGAGCCAGUCAAGGACAACCACAUUCAGCAAGACAGAGGCACCCUGAGAUAGCAUUGAGUUAAUGCAACUAUCCAACCCUGGCAAGUGCCACUGAAUGGUCGGUCUCACAGUGUCCAACAGCCUUAUUUGGGCCCUUCUCCCAUGGACUGGCCCAGCCAGGCACUGUUUGUGAGGAACUGGGGAUCUUUUCCCUGGCCUGUGUCCCAGGACACCUCCAAAUGCAUCCCGUCUUCCUAAUGGGAUGAGACAUGGGCAUGCAACAUCCUCCCACCACACUACCCCUCCUGCUCGUGGGAGGAGACCUGCAUGUGUGGCCAGAAGGGCACCAAGAAGACCCUGAGGUUGCAAAGCUGAGGAGCAGAGCUACAACUGGUGCUACCAGAUACCUCUCCACCACGUACCCUGCAUCGGUCGGUGCAUGUUUUUGAAAUUCCCAGCACACAAGGUGGUGCCCAUGCAGCAACAAGAAGCUGCUUCUUUCCUGUAAUGUGUUGCUGUAACAUGGUAUAAGACACUGAGGACUAAUUUGGGGUGAUGGUGGGGGGUGCAUACGUUUAGUCAGACACCAACUAUUUCCUGGAAUAAAUAGAUGGGAUGUAAGCCAGUGUAGAUAGAUUUCAGAUGACUGCUGGGAUAUAUGCCAAUUGUACCAGAGAAUAAAAGCAGAUCCAACCAAGUAUGUAAGGGAAUAAUGAGAUACAGAAUAAUUCUUUAUAACAAUAGAAUUAUAAUAAUAACAUAAUUCAGAGCAUACAUCAUUCUAAAUAAAAGUAUUAUUCUAAAUAUAGUUUUGAAUAAUAAUCUUAAAUAAUUCUAUGUACAAUGGCAUGAGAGUGACAGCUGGGCUUUAUAGCCAGCGUAACUGAAAACAGUUUUUCAGAGUGAUUUUUGAUAAAGAAAAGGGAUUUGAAUAAAGAUCUCUCACUUUUACCUGACCCUAUAAUAAUUCCCCAUCUUCACAUUUUCCAGACUUUUUAAUAAAAUACAAUAUCAAAUUGUCCAGAUCACUAGAUCUCUUAAACGGUUGUUUAUUCUUUGAUAAGCCACUGGGCUGUGCUAUUACUCUACAUUUUAAGGUUUCAUUUCUCAUAUACCACCUUCCAACAUGUUGUUCAGAAGAAUGACUGCUUCUAGUGGCAGAUUUAAAUUGCACAGUAACAUAAGAAUCUGGUCAAUAAUUAAUGCCACAAUAGCAAAUAAUGAGCUGAAUUUUAGCUCAGUUGCUUUUUUUUGUUUGUUUGUUUGUUUUCUUUGUGUACCUGUAAAUGCAUAGAGUAAACCAAUUACUGUUGCAUCAAAAUAGUUUUCAGGCACAUUAGAAGUAUCUAGUGAUGCAUAUUACUUGUAAUUGAAUGCUGCAGUCCAGCUACCAGCUUCUUUCCAAACAGAUGCUCUGUUCUCUAUAGGUAAAUAGAAAAUUUAAUCCAAAUUAAAA
Molecule: long non-coding RNA, 1661 nt
Organism: Athene cunicularia (burrowing owl)
Lineage: Eukaryota; Metazoa; Chordata; Aves; Strigiformes; Strigidae
Exons: 3
Source: RefSeq, a predicted model, not a curated record